RNAcentral lists this ribosomal RNA (497 nucleotides) under uncultured bacterium. RNAcentral describes it as "partial 16S ribosomal RNA". It matches the Rfam family "Bacterial small subunit ribosomal RNA", at positions 28 to 507 of the family's 1533-position model. The record is from RNAcentral.
GAUGAACGCUGGCGGCGUGCCUAAUACAUGCAAGUCGAGCGAACCGACGAGGAGCUUGCUCCUCUGAUGUUAGCGGCGGACGGGUGAGUAACACGUGGAUAACCUACCUAUAAGACUGGGAUAACUUCGGGAAACCGGAGCUAAUACCGGAUAAUAUAUUGAAUCGCAUGGUUCAAUAGUGAAAGACGGUCUUGCUGUCACUUAUAGAUGGAUCCGCGCUGCAUUAGCUAGUUGGUAAGGUAACGGCUUACCAAGGCAACGAUGCUUAGCCGACCUGAGAGGGUGAACGGCCACCCUGGAACUGAGGGACGGUCGAGACACUGACGGGAGGCAGCAGUAGGGAAUCUUACGCAAUGGAGGAAAGCCUGACGUAGCAACGCGGCGGGAGUGAUGAAGGUCUUCGGAUCGUAAAACUCUGUUAUUAGGGAAGAACAAAUGUGUAAGUAACUGUGAAGAUCUUGACGGUACCUAAUCAGAAAGCCACGGCUAACUACGUG